GGGUUUCGCGCCUCCACGCGUCCCGCCGCGUGUUCGAGUGGAUGCACCGCGCCGGCUCCGCCGUGCCGGUGAUUCACAAUAUGCAGUUCGACGCGAGCGCGGAGAAGGACACCGUCGUGAUCGAGUCCGGCGCGCAGGCGGGCGGCUUGCUGUGCGACGGCCUCGGCGACGGCGUCGUCGUCGAGCACCCGGGGGUGCCGCUGUCGUAUCUCCGCACGACGUCGUUCGGCUUACUUCAGGGGUCGCGCAUGAGGAACACGAAGACGGAGUACGUAUCGUGCCCGUCCUGCGGCAGGACGCUGUUCGAUCUCCAGGAGGUCACCGCCGCGAUCUCGGAGCGCACGGGGCAUUUGCCUGGCGUCGCGAUCGCGGUGAUGGGGUGCAUCGUGAACGGUCCGGGGGAGAUGGCGGACGCGGAUUUUGGAUACGUCGGCGGAGCGCCCGGGAAGAUCGACCUGUACGUCGGCAAGGAGGUCGUGAAGCGGGGGAUCGACAACGACACCGCGUGCGACGAGCUCAUUCAGCUCAUC
This 530-nucleotide long non-coding RNA is filed under the name Micromonas pusilla. Its description in RNAcentral is "long non-coding RNA (MPUS_LNC000044)". The record is from RNAcentral. Lineage: Eukaryota; Viridiplantae; Chlorophyta; Mamiellophyceae; Mamiellales; Mamiellaceae.